Molecule: small RNA, 9370 nt
Filed under: Daphnia magna
Lineage: Eukaryota; Metazoa; Arthropoda; Branchiopoda; Diplostraca; Daphniidae
Description: uncharacterized LOC116931156, transcript variant X17
Source: RNAcentral
CACUGCUCGCAUUAUUACAACUCAAGUUGAGCCACGGACGUCCACAUUAAUUGAAUUCCUGAUUUACUGCCUCAAACCGAUGCAGAGAUGUUUUACUAGAUGAAACUGCUGUAAGCCGGCGUCGAAACUCGAAAGAGAUAAACAGAUGCUUAAAUAGGGCAAUAUUUACCCUGUGAAUGAAGAGAUUCCUGGGAAUUGGCUUUCUUUUCACUCCAUCCGGAAGCGGUACUGGCUGAUGGUUUCAGGGUGGCAGCUACUACACCGGGGACGUCGAGCGAGCCGGACGGUACAGCAGAGCGGUCUGCUGGUGCAGAAACAGCUAUUGGUACAGGAGAGAUGUAAGAUUCAGCAAUCAGACCAGAGAAGUCUAAUCCUUCGGGCGCCCGGAGAAUAGCCAAAGACAAGUAAAUGUCAAAGGCAGCACUGUACGAGGAAUUCGAAAAAUCAGAUACUAAAUGUCAAAGGCCUCCAUCCAACAGGCUUCACCAUUUCGGCGUGGAAAGUUGAAUAAUUGACCAAUCCGUAAGCAGCCAAAAAGAAAUUGGAGAUGAGAGGAGCAAUUGCAUUCAGCUCGGCGAUAAUGAUGCAGCCCAAAGCGAUUAUAAAUGUCAAGAUGUAGCCAUUAACUGGCUCGUUGUUUUUGCCGUAUCCACGACCAAAAGGACCCAAAUAAGGAUAGAGCUUAUCCUUACACAAAGCCUGGAACACUUUGGGUGCAGAGACGAGACUGGCCAGAGCAGAGCUGAGGGUAGCCGCAAAACAACCGGCGUAAAUCAAAGGACCGAAAGCCGAAACCAGUUCAAUAACCUGUUUUCAUUUCAAUCGUUAUAGAUUUUCAUUCAUUUUUUUAAAAUGCAUAUCUUAAAUAGUGUCGUAAUGAAGACCUUACCUGGAAACUGUUUUGGAGUCCCCAUUCGCAACCCUCGGUACAGUUGGUAAGCGUGCCGUUGUAGAGGUCUUCAAUGUUGCCGGUGGCCUGUCUCAUAACCGUCGCGCCGCAAAUAAUGGCGAAACCGACGUAAGUCACACUUGUAAUAGCGAUGGCCAACAUUGUUCCUUUAGGAAUAGCGUGUUGAGGAUCCUAAUGUUAAGACAAAAUUGAGCGACCGGAAUUUUUGAUGGAUGAGUAUUGUAAAUCGACUUUAAGAUCGCCAGAAAUGUUGGCUCCAGCUAAGAUGCCUGUCGCGGCCGGAAAGAAGACGGAGAAGACAGUAAAGAAACUAUGUUCUUUGCCUUCGCUGUAUUGGUAGUCGGGUGAAAAAUUUUCCACAAAUAACUCACCUUUCAAAGUUAAAAAAUUCAUUUAUUUACGUAAAAUGUAUUUAACUAAUGGAACUUACUGCUGUAACCAACAAAUCCUUUAGCCUUUUCCUCGUCGUCCAUUGGGCCCAUAAUACUACCGAUGACGAACGCUAUUUGAGCGAUAAUCAAGAUGGCCAACAGAACAAUUUGUGCCUGAACCAAAAAGAACAAGUUAAGAUAUUUUUUAAAAAACAAUCUGUUUUACAAUAUGCUAGUGGUUACCUUAGUUUCCCAUUCGAGACCGAUGACGACGAUUCCGGUCAAUAAGAUGAUGGUGAUUGUGCCAAUAAUACGGACGUCGUUGACACCGUUGUCGAUGAUUUUGAGAUCAAAGGUCUUUAGCAAAUCGUUAAGCGACUCACAAAAGCCGAUGGUGUACAUGGCUACCGCUACUGCAUUUGCCACGGCGAAAAUGACGCCGAUGGAAGCGCCAAAGUCCGGGCCAAGCGAGCGAGAUAUCAUGUAGUAAGUACCGCCGCCUUUGAUGUUGCCGUUGGUGCUGAUGGCACUCAUUGAUAGGCCAGUUAUGGUAGUGACGAUGCAUGCUAGCGCGAUAAUAAUGACACCUUCACCUGUGUUUGCCAAAGUGAUUAUUUACUCUAGAGGGAUAUUCAUGACCUGAAAAUGGUUAACUUACCUAUUCCGGCUUGUCCUACGACCCAAGAAAGGCGAAGGAAAAGCAUUACGCCCCAAAUCGUCAUCGGAAAACUCACCAUCGCACCAAGACUCCUUUGAUCCAACCAAAUUUGACGAAAGUGUCUGGGACAACCUCGGUUGCUUUCUCUCCUUGAGGCUAUUUGCCAACGAGAUUGAAUUACAAAAAGGAAGCAAAACAAACGGUUGCUAAACUAGUACAAGCAAAUAAAGGGCGUGCGUAAAUAAGAUGCCGCAAUUGGAGUGACCCCUGCAUCACGGUUCCUCUUCUGCGUUCAACGGAACGCCCGUGAAAGGGGAAAUGAUUCAUCAGAGAGGUAUGAAAAUCUGAUACUUAUUACUCCUAUAAAAGGUAUCGCAACUUGUUAUUACGUCGUAGCAAAUUGCGCUAUUGUGGUAAAAAUCGUGCUGACGGAAAACGAACUGUUGAUUUUUUUCUACUGAUAUCCUAUUUCCAUUUUUAAUGGACAGUGGCGAAAACUAGGAACCUGGCACACCCUCAAAACAACUGUCUGGUUCAUAAUUAGACGUGCCGACGUUUGAUGGCCAGACAAUAGGGAGAUGUUUCACACAUCAGUAUUUUCCUCAUCGAUUACGUGUUUCCAAUAAGUCAACAACUACGAGUGUUAUGAGAGUUCGAUCAAUGCUGGAUCGUGUCGAUUGAUGGGCAAAGACGAGUGAUGGGACAGUGGGUAAUUUAAAUUGAAUGCGCUUCCUCCGAAUACGCAAUUUUUAUACGAACGUCGUCUUUUCACACGAGUGUUUAAGUAACGCCAUUUCAUUCUGCGGACUUUGGCUGCAAAAAAAAAAAGGGGGGGCUCCCGCUUUCCUUUGAAUUAUGAUGAAAGAAAAUGGGAAUUCUUUUUGUUUUAAAGAUGGAAAUUGGAGAUCGCAAACAUUUUCUCUAGUGUGAAAUGAAAAAAAACUUUGGUUCGGGAAGCUCGGGUAGUCAUUACGCGUAAUAUCAAGUGACGACGACUUUUCUAAGAAAUUUAAGCUAGAUUCAUUUUACGACAUAAAACCUUGUAGGGAUGGGUGUGUUUCUUUUAGGUCAGCCUAGCGCAAUCUAUUCCUCUUUUUUUCCAUACCAGGUCAUAAGACUUGUGGGAAGGGCUGUUUUUUUUGUCAAGUUCAACAGCCGUUACAGCAAUAAUGGCAAUAGAGGAGGGAGAAAAACUCGGCGUUCUACAUGUUUCUAGACAACUCCCUUGGCUAAUUUUCUUACAGUACGUUGUCGACAAGUUUACUUUAAAUUUUGUUUUAUUUUGGCUUUACAAGUUCGCGUGUGGUCGUUGCUCUCUAUUUGGGGAAUAGUCACUGUCUGACGGAUUACUUGCAGUCGUGGCUUUUUUUUUUUCUUUUCACGGAAAACCAAUAAAGGCUCAAUGACCGCAAACUAUGCAGGAUUGCACGACUUCAUUAUUCAAAUUGUUCCGGUAUGCUAGUUAUGUGACAUCGUGUUUAAAAAAUGAAGUAAACAAAAUUACCUUUUCGUGAAUAGUUGCAUUGUGAAGUUCGUCCAGGGUCGGUCUAUGCCCGGCUUGAAUUGAAAGGAUAUUGCGGUAGUUGUCGAGCCGAGGCAACGCUUCACGGGUCAGUUGGUAGCGCAAGCUCUUGGUAGCGGCGUUUGUCCGUUGACCACUUUCGUUCAUCGUCAUGUAAGUACCUUCCGACAAAAGAGCGGUCGGAGAGGACGCCCGUUCCCCGUCAUUAGAAGCGGCCGAACCAGGACGUUCGCCCAUUUCAAUCGCCUCCGAGCUAUUGCCCUUCUGUAAAUAAUCGUUCAACCAGACCACACACGCAUUAGAUUCUACUUCAAUAUUUCAUGAUAAAAAGAGAACGUAUACGUAUGAAAGAAAAAACAAAAAAUGGUGGUUAGCAUAGGUGUUGCGUACUUCCGUUUCGUCGCCAUCUUCUUCGGAAUUUCCGCCUCCUGAGUCGACUCGGUUCACUUUGAAACGGUUGCGUUUGGAUAAUGCGUCAGUCAUGAUCUAAGAACCUGAAUAUACAUACAAGCAAACAACAACAAAAUAUACACAAUUCGAUAAUCAAUAUUUGCUGUAGGUACUAUCCCCGUGGAGACAGCGUGCACUUUCAUUUAACAUUUUACGAUGCAAUUUAUAGUUGCAAUGGAAUCGACAGAAAUGUCGAAUGAUAUUGCUCGUAUCAUCACAAAAUGAUAAAGAGUCAUGGCAAAGAGAACAAAUAUCCAACUUCAUUUAAAUUUUAAGAAUAAAAGACAAAAUGUCUGUUGUCUUUGUAAAAAGAGAAGAAUGACUGGCAAAGUUUGAACAACGCUCGAUCACCUCAAUCGCUUAAACUGAAUCAACACUGUUAAAUGCAACUGCUGCUUUCACUUUCAUAGUAAUUCAAAUUAAUCCUAGACAACUAAUCGCCGUAAAAUAUCUAAUGUUUCUGAAUAAUUGUUAUUUGAAAUUUACCAGCAGGGAUGGCAGAAAUCGAUUAGUUGAAAGUGUUUCAACAGAAGUACGAGAAAGACACGUGGGGCACUUGAAGGUAACGGCACAGCUACAAAUGGUGAGACCGGUAGCCGGUUAACGAAGAGGAACAGACACAAGCAUGCAGACCGACCGGCAGGCGAAGACUACAGACUGACGAAGCUCAAAGUGACAGAGCAUUGGCUGUUUAUAAAGCGAAAGGCCCCUCCAGCUCCAGCACUCUCUCACACUCGACGGAAACACCAGAUAGGAUGGUGCCAGCCCCCUCUUGCUUCUUUCCAAAAAGAUCCGGGGGCUUCUAUUUAGCCACCCUUUUGUGUAUCCAAAAAGAGGAGAGUAGGUCUCAGUUUUUUUUUUUUUUUUUGCUUUGUAAAGAAGUGAGGUGGUCGUGGGGUGGCUAAAUUCCUUUUUUUUUUGUGCUGGAGGCUGUCGAAUUUUUUAACAUAAAAACCAUUCUGAAAACAAGUAAACAACAGGCCAAUUUAAGCUAUGCUGCGAUGAAGAAAGCCACUGCCAAUCAUCUUGUCGAGAGAAUGAAAACGUUUGAUGUGCAACAAGAACAACUCGGGACAAUAAGCAGGCAUCAAUAAAAACGAGGAAAAGUCAAAACUGUGCUAAGCAAAAAUUAAAAUCUAAAUUCAUUCGACCUCUUUUAAUCCUGUUCAAAUAUGGAUGAAUCAUCCCUAUCUUGGCUGUCACAUUUCAGAAAGUUGGCGUUUCAUCACGGCAUAAGGAGCAGUAGGUACAUCUUUUUAUCCCGUGGGAUAGGCAAGAACGUGGUGCAAAUGUUUUCCUUCUCAUGUAGAGACUCCACGUUUGAAACUCGACUGUCUAUAAUUAGAAUUUCAUUUGAAAAAAACAAAAAAACUAUACUUUCCUAGACAUUAUAGAAUCAGACAUCUUUCAAAGCAGCCGCCCGGAAAACCUGAGAGUCACCUAGCGAACCAUUCUUGUACUUCAUUGACAAUAAACAAAAGAAAAGCGCCUAUUCUUAGUAGUAUGACAGAUCACGAAAUCAACCAUCUUAUGGAAUCGAAAACCAUCUAGAUGUUUCUUUUUUAGACUCCAUUGUUUAACGUGUUUCCCAGUGUAUUUUCCAGUCCAAGGUUACAUCGAACCCAGGGACGCAGAUCCCUUUAGUUGAUUGAUGAGAUUAACAGUUUUCCAUGUUCUUAUCCGCAGCCCUACAGUGUGUAAAAAUAGACAGUGGGAAAAAUCUGCUCAUCAUGCUGAUUGGCACAAUGCUGGCUUCAUGACUACACAGUGUUAAAAGACUCUUCCCUUAAGUAAAUUUGCAGCUGUGGACUUUCUUUAGAUGACUCUUGUAUCAUAAAUAUUUUCCUGCUUCUUGGAACGUGGAACAUAGGAUGUCUUGAUGCCAACCAAGUGUCAUUAAGAGUGUAAAAAGAUGUUUCAGGUUUUUGAAAAAUCAGUGAUAAUGUUUAAAAAAUUACUUUUUUAGUAUUCUUAAAUCAUGCUUAAAUUAGCAGAAAAAACCUAAAGCUGGAGGAUGAUACAUUUGUUUCUUGUUACUAGUUUUGUAAACAAAGGCUAAAUUGGUAAAAUGAAACAACACAUGACCUAUGGCUUUAGAUCUAUUGUUUUCACAAAUGGAAAUUGAUUCCAAAUCUUUAUCUACCCGGUCAGACACCCACCCAAAAACCAUGGGGUGAUAGAUGAUAUAAAAAAUGUAUUAAUUCAAAAAUUUAUAUUUUAAGUUAUUGUUUGCAGAGUCAGGGAAAAAAUGUGUGGAAUCUGAAAUUCUAGCCCUCAAAACCCCAGCUGCCAUUCUGCUUCAACAAGGCUAUAAAGCAAUUAUUAUUUAAAGUGGUAGAGACUGUCAGCAAAAACAAAGCACAGACAUUUUUGUAGUUGGCUUUUCUGCUUAAUGUUAUUGUUAAACUUAACUUUUGGAAACAUAGAAGUGUAAUCAAAUGUUCAGGAUCAAAUUGAUGAAAUGGUUGAGCCAAAAAUGAACUUUAUAUUACUUUUGAACAGAUCUUAACUCAGUGUACGCGGCUGAUGCCCCACUAAACGUCACAUCAAUCUUUACCUGCGGUCUUCCAGUGUUGGUAAUUUGUUAUGGCAUGCAAUUAUUCAACAAGGAGUUAGGUGGAACGGAGGAGUGUAAAGAUGUUUGCGAAGAUGGGCAAUUCGAUAUCCAAGUACAAACGGAGUGCCCAUUGUUUAAAGGCUUAGAGACCCGGCAAAUGGUAUUGCUGACCAAUGUUGACAGCUUUGACAAGGUUGCAGAAGGAUUAUCUUGCGUCUCAAAAUCUUCGCGUCAUUAUUUCCGCCAUUGCUGAUACUGAACACCAUCUUGACGGAGUCCAUCAGUUCCCUCCUGAAGUUGAUUUGACUAAAAAUGGUAUGUUGGUUUCCUUUCCAUUGAUUGCAAACAUUGAUCUUAGCAGUAUAUCGAUUACGUCCGGCGUACGGUCGGAUGUAAUAAGAUCGUGCUCAUGCUGGUAAUCGCGUAGUCGAUUCCUUCGUUUGUGCUGCCCAUCUCCAUAAAGCACUUCUACAGGGUGCGACGGGUGGCCUGCACUCGCGCUGUUCCAGGAAUUUCCAGGGUUUUGUAUGACCAGAUGGCGAAAUCACUCGUGACAACGGAGUGGGAAGGAUUUGAUUUACGAACGUUACUUAGGCAAAUCAUAUCCGCACUCUUUAUAAGACAGGACAAAGAUACGGAGUUGUAUCAUUGACCAGAUUUAGAUAGGAAAUAUUAUGAAUAUUGGAUUCAGUAAUAGAUUAUGAAAUUGAAAAAAUCGAUCAACUUUGCCGUCUCGUUAAAGAGUAGUUCACGUGAUGACUUAUUGACUAUUCCUUAAAUAUACAUGCACACUUGUUGGAAAUAAUGGUUUCAGUUGUUUUUCGUCGAACAAAUUAAACGUUGUUAAUGUGCAGCUAGUUGGGCUGUUGUUGCUCUCCCUUGUAAAUCUAACCUUUUUCGCCCAAUUGUUAAUCAAAUUUUUUUGGAACGUUGUGAUGUCACCCAAAAACAAGCGGAAGGCCAUUCGAGGCGUUAUGCCAUUAUCUGAAAUUGAACAUUCAGAAAAUGUGGUAAAUGUUUGCCAAUUGUUAAGAUUUAUUCAGAGUGGUACUAUAAAGUAUGACUGUAGGAAAGGGUACGUUAGGCUUCUAAAAGUGAAGAACAGUUCUGACAUCUUUGGUAAGCGGAAAAGGUACUGCAAAUGGAAGCGUCACAUGACGAUUUUAAGGAUGGACCCUUUCGUUUGCAUUGCCCAAUGAAUCUGUGCUUGGAACUGGCAGCUGGCGUUUAACAGCUUGGCACCUAAUCUUUGUUCUUAAAAGCCAGAGGUGUUCUUCACGUUUCAGGAGGAUACUUAUUGAUGAUUUUUUUAGAUUGAUGAUACUUAUUGGUUAAACCAUGAAGAAUACCAAUAGAUGGAUAAAAUGAGGGUUAUAAUAUAAAACAAAUUGCUCAUGGCAUUUUCAUUCACGCAUGCGCGACAAUUUGUGAGCAGACGAACUAUUGAAAGAGACUUGCGCAGUCUAACUGCAUCCAGCCAGAUACUAGUAAAACCCGAAACAUUGUUUUGACAAGUUCUGACAUAUUGUGGUUGCAGGUUUUCACUAAAUAACAAGCGGAAAAACUAGAUGGCAUUGAGCGUCAAUGAUAAAUAUUACGAUUGACAAGUUAAAGGGUCUACUCUGUUUAGUGUUUUAAACGAUUUUUCGUCAAAAAUUAAGUGGGUUUCACCUUGUCAGCUGGACUGUCAGCUGAACCAGUAGCCUGCAUUCCUGCUAUCAAUGUACCACAAGGGAUGCUGACACUUUAAGAAGACAAACAGUAACCACUAUGCCCGAGACAUGAACAUCGCCAUUCUAUUCAGAGUCUUUGUCUACUAUGUGUUGCAAACUAUCAGCCCUUAGCAUCCCAUGUUUCUAGAUUUUAAAGCUUCUCUGCUUAACCAAUCAUCAUCCAUACACUUCAGCUCUUCAUUGUGGCUUCUCUUCCUCUCUUCUUAGCCUGCUGAAUGCCAACAGGCAUUCAGGUUCGCCAUUGCCUUACCAUGAAAUAGAAAAUAUUGUUAAUCAUGCUGCCAAAUCUUCUUCGUACGAGUCAUGCAGUAAUAGAUUCCUUGUGGGAUUUCAUUGCAAAAUCCACCCAGGCUGAAAAGGGCAUCCUACCAGUUGUUUGGACUAUACCUGCCUCGCCGUCUUCGCCUCGCCUUCUUCGCCGUCUUCGCCUCGCCUUCCUCGCCGUCUUCGCCUCGCCUUCCUCGCCGUCUUCGCCUCGCCUUCCUCGCCGUCUUCGCCUCGCCUUCCUCGCCGUCUUCGCCUCGCCUUCCUCGCCUCAUCGUCUUCAAGCUGAUCAUCUUUAUCUCACUGUCAUCUCAUCGUCAUUGCCGCAUCGUCUUUGCUCGCACUCGGCUUCUCAUCACCGUCAUCGUGGAACCUCGCAUUUUUGGUAUUUUGUUUUGUUUUAUUGUUUUGUAUUGUUGUAUUGUGUAUGUUAAAAGUUAACCCGUUGGCUGCCACCCAUUUUGCUCCCCUUUUUUUUUUAGUUGUAGGGACCGGCGGCGCUGUUCUGCCCCAUGGUUGAUCACCCAUGGGGUGGGGCAGUCGCCUUGCGCCUUAGGGCGCCGUAGGCAAUGCACCAGUAGGGACUUCCCCUUGUCGAUGCGAUGGUGGAGUACCUGGGGUGUGCAUUCCCGUAAAGGUCUCCAUCGUCAAGUCAGCCCGGACUUGUCUUUGGACAAGUCCCCCUUUCAUCGUAUCCCUCUGAAACGAUGCGUAGCUACUGUAGAGAACAACCUAUGAGUUGUAAUGGCUUGGCAGCCAACGGGUUAACUUAAGUGUUUGUUUUUUAUGCAUGUAUGUACUGUAUUUAUUGUAUAACAUGUGAUGUAUGUAUUGAAUAACAUGUGAUGUAAAACUGUGGUGGAAUUGUGGGUGGAGGUGGGAUAAUACAAAACCAAUUCCAUUUA